AUGUACCACUCGUACACGUCGGUUCCUGCGCGCCGCCCACACUUACCUGACGAGUGCUCGCGGCGUUCUGCUAGCC
Molecule: small RNA, 76 nt
Filed under: Xanthomonas floridensis
Lineage: Bacteria; Pseudomonadati; Pseudomonadota; Gammaproteobacteria; Lysobacterales; Lysobacteraceae
Description: sX9 sRNA
Rfam family: Xanthomonas sRNA sX9
Source: RNAcentral